AGAGGAAGAGGAGGAGGACAAAAGGAGAGGAGAGGAAGAGGAGGAGGAAAAGGAGGAGGAAGAGGAGCAGGGGAAGAAGAGGAGAGACAGCCCAGCGGCCCGCCUUUCCACCCCCUCCCAUCCCCCUCCAGCCCCUCUCAUCCCCCUCCAGCCCCUCCUAGCCCCGCAGUCCCUCCCAGCCCUUCCCAGCACCCCCCAGCCCCUUCCCGCCCCACCACGCCCUUCCCAACCCCCCAGCCCCUCCCAGUCCCCCCAGUCCCCUCGCCGGGGGGGGGAGGCGGGGCUGCAGGAGGAGCCCCGCUGUCCCGCCCCCCCCCGGCCCUUCCCGCCGUCCCGGGGCGGCUCCCGGCAGCGGAGGGUCCCGCUGGCUGCGGCGGAGCUGCCGCCGCUCCGGGCCCGAUGCUGCCCCCCCCACCCCUCCUCCUCCUCCUCCUCCUCCUCCUCCUCCUCCUCCCCGGCAGCCCGGCGGCCGGCCCGGCGGUCACCGCCCGCACGCUUUCUCCGUGCUACUCUGCUGACCUCAGGCCGGCUUCGGAGAGGCUUGUCUCGGCCGUGGGCUGCACUGUGCUUUUGACAAUACCGCCGCUGAAUGCCACCGAAGCUGUCUUCUGGGAAUACAAAGCCGGCCUGCAGGAAGGAGUCAUCGUCAAUUAUGCUUUCGACAGACCCGCCAACACGUCUCGCCCCUACAAGGAUCGCACGAGGUUCAACGAAACGGACUUCUCGCUGCAGAUCGUGCUGCAGCGGGGAGACGACCGGCUCUACCGGUUCAGGUCCGAGUCGGAGGCCACGGGCUGGUUCCAGCUGCGCGUUGUCGAACCGCUGUCGGAGCCAGAAAUCGUGGGCAACUCAUCGGUGAAGGCAGGAGGCAACACCAAACUGGUUUGCAAUGUCCAGGAAGGGAAGGCAGACUUGUACUGGUGGAAGAAGAACGGGGAGCUGCUGCUGGGAAGCGACCACAUCCAGUUCGUUGACAAUGCCACCCUGUGCAUCGUUAAAGCCUCGAUGAACGACAGCGGCUACUACGCUUGCGUGGUCCGCAACGAAGUCAGCCAGAACGAAACCUCCUUCCUGCUCCACGUCCAGAACGCUGCGAACGUGGUGUUGCCCGUGAUCCUGGCGUGUGUUAUGAUCGGCUUGCUCGCAGGUGUCUUCGUCUGGUGCAGGAGAAGGGACCGCCAGUAUCACGAUGGCUGUAGGGCUUGAGAGGUUUCUGGGAAGCGAGUGAUUCUCAAAAUCUUCUCGGAGCUUGCUCACUCUAUGUGACCACAAAAAGCUCAGGCUGUUAACUGAAGCUUCCUGGAGGUAGAGCGUGAGCGGCUGUGCCCUUGCUGCCUUCCCCUGAUGGUGGUGGUGGGUGCUGCGUGGGGAGCCGCCGGCCGUCUGAUGCUGUCCCGACCCCUUCUGGGCUCACCUCUGAACCGCUCAAGCUGCUGAACCCCACAGAAGUUUGUAAAACACUGGCUUGGACUAUUUCCGUGUUGUCCUGCCCUUCCCCAGAGCCCCUUGUGCAUCCCUGGGGGAGAGGUGGGCCCAUGGCUGGAGACCCGGCUGCUGCUGUGCUCCAGCCCGGCUACAUCUCCCGGGUAGGUGCUUGCACACGGGCUGGAAGGAGCCACCGUCCCCGCCGGACAAACACACGGUCCUGGGGCUGCUGGCGAGUGCCGCGGUGCCAGGGCUUGAGCCCCUCGCCGUGGCCGCCUGGUGCGCUGCUGUGCCUGGCAUUGCCAGGGCGGCUCGGGCUGAGGCCGUGGGCAUUCUGCUCGGUUUGGCCCUCGGAGCGAGGCAAAAAGGGCAGGAUUUUGCUGUCCUGUGCGCUGGGGAGUCCAGGAGAUGAGUGGAGCCAGCGGAGGGCGGCAGGGAUGGAGGAGCAGCGAAGCAGUUUUGUUUUAGAAAGCAAACCCCAAAGAAAUCCCUGUGGCCGGCUGCGUUAGAGCCGUGUCGCAGCCCGGUGUGGGAGGCGUAGGGAUGCUCCCGAGCCCACCUCCUCUGUCUUCCAGCCUCAGGCUCCAGUGGCACCUGGGGACAUCCCUUCCUCUUCCAAGCACUAGCCGCCUGGGUCGUACGUGUGCCGCUGCAAGCUUGUCCUUUCCUUUUGCCGCUGCUGCGGUGGUGGUAGAUUUGAUCUGGUUCGAUAAGGCCAGGGCAGCCCUGCUUCCAGCCCCUGUCACUGUUGCCUCCCUUGCCCGUGCUGCUUCUGCAAAGCUCUUCUGGGUUUUGCUUGUGAAGGGGUCUUUAUUAGUUCUUGUAGUUGAAUUACUUAGCCUGGAGGCUCAACUGGCAUCUUCACCCUGGAGAAAACUGGAUGCUCUCCCAGGAAUGCUGGACCUCCCACCGUGCCUUGCUCAAGGUCAGGCCGGGGCGUUUGCACCCAUCUUUCGUUCUGAUGGGGACAACCCCAGGUCCAGCACCCUGUCUGAGCCGGUCCCCAGCACCUCUGCAGGGGGCAGGCGUUUUGGGUGCCCUGGUCUAGCCACUGGAUGGUCACUCCUGCCCCAGAGCAGCUGGUGGCUUGGGGACCUCUCCUUGCCCCGAGCAAAGGGAGAGCGUGCUUGGGUCUUGCCUGGAGACCUGAUUCUGCAGCAAAGGGCUCUCCUGGCCAGGGGAGCAGCGGGUUUCCCUCUCCUGGGGGUUACCCCUUCCCUGUGGAGAACAGAAGCGCACCUGGGAGAGGCUCAAAUUGUAUCCCGCGGCGGCAGCAGUCGCUAAGCUGUCCUACGCCACUUUCCGGGGCAAACAGGAAAAUUAUGAGAGAAACUGGCUCGUGGCUUGACCAUCUUGGACGCUGCCUGCUCUGCCCCUGCUCUGGCUGACGGUGCAGCGAAGCUCUGUCCCUGGGUGAUAGCCGGGAUAUAAAGGGGCUGGCAGCAGAGGUCCAUCUCUCAGCCUGGGAUUUCAUGUUGCAGUUAAAGCGUUAAAGGGAGCAGAGCAGUUUGGGUGGAGCAAACUAGAUUUCAACCUCAGUUUUAAGCUGCGAUGCAGGUUGUCAAGUUCCCUGUUGCACUUGCAGGAAUAAGACGAAUGCAGCCACAGGUUUUACAAGAAACACUUUCCUCAACUUUUUGGAGAGUCGUCUGUAAAUCAUUCUGGAGCUGCUCUGUGUUUUUUAAUGUCUGUUGCUACUAUUAAAAGUGUGUGUGUUAUCCCA
Molecule: non-coding RNA, 3148 nt
Organism: Phalacrocorax carbo (great cormorant)
Lineage: Eukaryota; Metazoa; Chordata; Aves; Suliformes; Phalacrocoracidae
Source: RefSeq, a predicted model, not a curated record